AGCAGUGUCAUGGCUUUUGCUGUUCUCUUGGACGGAUGGUUGGUGACAACCGAAUGGGUCAUGUGCCACUGGGCUCCCCAGGUGUCCGAGUGUUUUGCCUGCCUGUAUGAACAUAUACUAUGAGUGCUGUGCCUUGGAGCUGGAAUGAACAUAGUUCUGUGCAUGAAUCCUCUGAAAGAGCGGACAAGAUUCUCUGUGGAACCAUGGCUAUCCUUGAACUCACAGAGAUUCAUUGCUGCUGGGAGUAAAGUUUACAGGACCACCAUAUCUGACAUGAAAAUUCAAAGCACACUUAGAAGACUUUGUGUUCUCUAGAGAAGUUAGCAGGAUUGUUUAAAUUUUGAGAACUGGCCACACCAGACACAGAAUCAAGAUAAAACUCAACUGAUAAAACACAGAAAUGCUCAAGUGAGGUCAUGAACAAACAGUAAGUCAAUCACCUGCUUUGUACCCAUCUGUCUACUCACAAAGGCAGAAAUAUGAUGGUAGGUGGAACGGUUGGUUUUCAAUGAAGGAAUUCUGUUUAUGUCAAUGUUCUGGAAAAUAGGAAAUAACAUACAGUUAAAAGUU
This 570-nucleotide long non-coding RNA is filed under the name Rattus norvegicus (Norway rat). RNAcentral describes it as "long non-coding RNA NONRATT027449". The record is from RNAcentral. Lineage: Eukaryota; Metazoa; Chordata; Mammalia; Rodentia; Muridae.